CUCUCUGCAGCAUUUCAACUACUUGUAUUUCCCCAUCUUUACAACUGCAACCACGUGAACACUGGUCAAAUAUCAUCCGAAGAAAUUAAUCUUAGCCUUCCUUAAUAAAUUAAACUCAGCCUAGGGAAAAUGUUUAUGUAAUUUAAUCAUCAUUAUUAAAAAAAGCAGUCAUGUAGAAGAACAAACAAAUUGGGUGGGAUGUUCGAGGAUGUCACUGUUAUCCCUAAGACCUCUUCACUAAAGUUUACAAGGGAAAAGAUGUCUCUUCAUUUGUCUGCACAUCAAAACAAAGCUUGAGAGAGUGCUAACAGAUGCAGACGCCUUUCUGAGCUACUCCCAUAUGCUGCUGUCAUGGCCAGGAAUAGUGUUGGUGCUCUGCUCUUAAGUCUCCAGGGAACGGGAAGAACAAGAGAGAGGUUUCAAGAGACUCUAGCAAUCAUCACAAAGCAGAAGCUGGAGAAGUAGAAGUGGUUUUGCACUCAAAGUGCCAAGCAGAGCUGACCACCCACAUAGCUGCAACAUUGUGCUAACAUACUAACUUUGAGGAGAUCUCAGCUCAUUCCUCGUGCUACCUUUAUGUGUUCUUAAAGUGCAGAAUGAAAAAGGUUUUGGGUUUUGUUUUUUUUUUUUCCUUAUGAUAAUGACUAGAAGAUGCAACAACAAACAUACAUAUUUUGUGAUUGUUCUUGCAUGUCUGGACUUAU
Harpia harpyja (harpy eagle) is the source of this 704-nucleotide long non-coding RNA. RefSeq lists it as uncharacterized. The record is from RefSeq and is a predicted model, not a curated record. NCBI's taxonomy places the organism in Eukaryota, Metazoa, Chordata, Aves, Accipitriformes, Accipitridae. The transcript is spliced from 3 exons.